GAUGAACGCUGGCGGCGCGCCUAAUACAUGCAAGUCGAACGCGCAGCGAAAGGUGCUUGCACCUUCCAAGCGCGUGGCGAACGGGUGAGUAACACGUGGAUAACCUGCCUCAAGGCUGGGGAUAACAUUUGGAAACAGAUGCUAAUACCGAAUAAAACUUAGUAUCGCAUGAUACAAAGUUAAAAGGCGCUACGGCGUCACCUAGAGAUGGAUCCGCGGUGCAUUAGUUAGUUGGUGGGGUAAAGGCUUACCAAGACGAUGAUGCAUAGCCGGUUUGGGAGACUGAUCGGCCAAAUUGGGACUGAGACACGGCCCAAACUCCUACGGGAGGCUGUAGGAGGGAAUCUUCCACAAUGGGCGCAAGCCUGAUGGAGCAACGCCGCGUGUGUGAUGAAGGCUUUCGGGUCGUAAAGCACUGUUGUAUGGGAAGAAAUGCUAAAAUAGGGAAUGAUUUUAGUUUGACGGUACCAUACCAGAAAGGGACGGCUAAAUACGUGCCAGCCGCCGCCGUAA
RNAcentral lists this ribosomal RNA (513 nucleotides) under uncultured bacterium. RNAcentral's name for it is "partial 16S ribosomal RNA". It matches the Rfam family "Bacterial small subunit ribosomal RNA", at positions 28 to 523 of the family's 1533-position model. The record is from RNAcentral.